This 906-nucleotide ribosomal RNA is filed under the name Triticum aestivum (bread wheat). Its description in RNAcentral is "partial small subunit ribosomal RNA". The record is from RNAcentral. Lineage: Eukaryota; Viridiplantae; Streptophyta; Magnoliopsida; Poales; Poaceae.
AUGGAUCCAUGGAUGCAGGCGUAUCUCGAGCGGAUCGACACCAUGCUCGACGCCUACACCGACGCCACCAGGUCCCUCAUCGAGAAAGUGGACGCACUGGUCGUCACCUGGCGGCCAGACCUGGAGAAGAGGUCCUCCCACACCGCCGUCGUCCACGGUCCACCAGCGCCGACCUCGGCGCUCGAGACCACUACUGAGGCGUCCGAACCUGUCUCUGGCAUCUACUACUCCACCACCAAGGCCCAGGAGAUCCCCACGGUCGCCCAUGAUGCAACUCCGAUAUGCAUUCCGAUGGUGCCUGUCACCUGUUCGACGGAUUGCUCGACCCAGGUCGACGCCAUCGACAACGCCGACGAAGUCCAUGACGCCGCCACCGUCGCAACGGAGGUACGCAACACUACAACAGCACUCGGCCCCGAGCUCGCGGUCGACCUCUGCAAGACCAUGGCGACCACCAAGGUAGCCACCUGUGGUCACUACGGCAAGCUCGACGGCCUCAACAUCCCCGUGAAGGCCAGCAUCAGCCCGCCGCACCACGUCCAGGAUGCAUUCCCAAAUUAUUCCACAAUCAGCAACUGUCGCGCCGAUGUUGCCGGGACGGAUGAGUACGAACUCGUGGAGGCCACUCCAGGCGUCGCCAUUGAGCUUGCCAUCCUCCCAGGCGUCUCCUCCUUCAUGAACAAGCUAUUCCGGAAGCAUGACAUGGACGUCUCGCCGCCCACAAGGCACAAAGGGCAGCCAAUACGGCCGACACCAUGGCCGUCAUUUCUGGUGCAUCAUAGUGCAAAGGGGAAUGAGAUUCGACCCACUCCGUGGCCAUCGUUUUCUUGCUCUCAUGAAGGUAUGACUCUGAAUCAUGAAACUCUGCUGCCUCAUGUUACAUGUGAGAUGAAGAUUACUUGCUAG